CUAACCUAGAUCGCUCUGAGGGAUGCAGAGGGAUGAAGACAGGGAUGAUUUGAGGGGCGCCUAUGGCCCGAGAGGACACCAACAGAAAUAGGGCUCUCGAAGGGAGGGCAGAUACUGCUAGAACUCUGGAACGGAAUAGGGCCCCUAAAGGUGGAAGGAUGGGUUUAAAUAGACCCUGGGAUCCGGUGCCAUAAUGAUCGCGAAUCCCCCCAGGCCAGCCCGUGCCCGACAC
This 232-nucleotide long non-coding RNA is filed under the name Elaeis guineensis (African oil palm). RNAcentral's name for it is "long non-coding RNA (EGUI_LNC015821)". Lineage: Eukaryota; Viridiplantae; Streptophyta; Magnoliopsida; Arecales; Arecaceae. The record is from RNAcentral.